Fukomys damarensis (Damara mole-rat) is the source of this 116-nucleotide ribosomal RNA. The record is from Ensembl. Lineage: Eukaryota; Metazoa; Chordata; Mammalia; Rodentia; Bathyergidae.
GUCUACAGCCAUACCACCCUGAAUGCUCCCGAUCUCAUCUGAUCUCAGAAGCUAAGCAGUCAGGUCUGUUAGUACUUAGAAGGGAGAAGUCAAUCUGAUACAAAAAAUCAUAGACU